GAUGAACGCUGGCGGCGUGCCUAAUACAUGCAAGUCGAGCGAACAGACGAGGAGCUUGCUCCUCUGACGUUAGCGGCGGACGGGUGAGUAACACGUGGAUAACCUACCUAUAAGACUGGGAUAACUUCGGGAAACCGGAGCUAAUACCGGAUAAUAUAUUGAACCGCAUGGUUCAAUAGUGAAAGACGGUUUUGCUGUCACUUAUAGAUGGAUCCGCGUCGCAUUAGCUAGUUGGUAAGGUAACGGCUUACCAAGGCAACGAUGCGUAGCCGACCUGAGAGGGUGAUCGGCCACACUGGAACUGAGACACGGUCCAGACUCCUACGGGAGGCAGCAGUAGGGAAUCUGCCGCAAAGGGCGAAAGCUUGACGGAGCAACGCCGCGUGAGUGAUGAAGGUCUUCGGAUCGUAAAACUCUGUUAUUAGGGAAGAACAAAUGUGUAAGUAACUAUGCACGUCUUGACGGUACCUAAUCAGAAAGCCACGGCUAACUACGUG
Molecule: ribosomal RNA, 497 nt
Filed under: uncultured bacterium
Lineage: Bacteria
Description: partial 16S ribosomal RNA
Rfam family: Bacterial small subunit ribosomal RNA
Source: RNAcentral